RNAcentral lists this ribosomal RNA (200 nucleotides) under uncultured bacterium. RNAcentral describes it as "partial 16S ribosomal RNA". It matches the Rfam family "Bacterial small subunit ribosomal RNA", at positions 524 to 717 of the family's 1533-position model. The record is from RNAcentral.
UACGAAGGGGGGCUAGCGUUGUUCGGAAUUACUGGGGCGUAAAGGGCGCGUAGGCGGUGCCUCAAGUCAGGCGUGAAAAGCCCCCGGGCUCAACCUGGGAACCGCGCCUGAGACUGGAGUUACUAGAGUUCGGGAGAGGAUGGUGGAAUUCCCAGUGUAGAGGUGAAAAUGCGCAGAUAUCAGGAGGAACACCGGUGGCG